GAUGAACGCUGGCGGCGUGCCUAAUACAUGCAAGUCGAGCGAACGGACGAGAAGCUUGCUUCUCUGAUGUUAGCGGCGGACGGGUGAGUAACACGUGGAUAACCUACCUAUAAGACUGGGAUAACUUCGGGAAACCGGAGCUAAUACCGGAUAAUAUUUUGAACCGCAUGGUUCAAAAGUAAAAGACGGUCUUGCUGUCACUUAUAGAUGGAUCCGCGCUGCAUUAGCUAGUUGGUAAGGUAACGGCUUACCAAGGCAACGAUGCAUAGCCGACCUGAGAGGGUGAUCGGCCACACUGGAACUGAGACACGGUCCAGACUCCUACGGGAGGCAGCAGUAGGGAAUCUUCCGCAAUGGGCGAAAGCCUGACGGAGCAACGCCGCGUGAGUGAUGAAGGUCUUCGGAUCGUAAAACUCUGUUAUUAGGGAAGAAUAUAUGUGUAAGUAACUGUGCACAUCUUGACGGUACCUAAUCAGAAAGCCACGGCUAACUACGUGCCAGCAGCCGCGGUAAUACGUAGGUGGCAAGCGUUAUCCGGAAUUAUUGGGCGUAAAGCGCGCGUAGGCGGUUUUUUAAGUCUGAUGUGAAAGCCCACGGCUCAACCGUGGAGGGUCAUUGGAAACUGGAAAACUUGAGUGCAGAAGAGGAAAGUGGAAUUCCAUGUGUAGCGGUGAAAUGCGCAGAGAUAUGGAGGAACACCAGUGGCGAAGGCGACUUUCUGGUCUGUAACUGACGCUGAUGUGCGAAAGCGUGGGGAUCAAACAGGAUUAGAUACCCUGGUAGUCCACGCCGUAAACGAUGAGUGCUAAGUGUUAGGGGGUUUCCGCCCCUUAGUGCUGCAGCUAACGCAUUAAGCACUCCGCCUGGGGAGUACGACCGCAAGGUUGAAACUCAAAGGAAUUGACGGGGACCCGCACAAGCGGUGGAGCAUGUGGUUUAAUUCGAAGCAACGCGAAGAACCUUACCAAAUCUUGACAUCCUUUGACAACUCUAGAGAUAGAGCCUUCCCCUUCGGGGGACAAAGUGACAGGUGGUGCAUGGUUGUCGUCAGCUCGUGUCGUGAGAUGUUGGGUUAAGUCCCGCAACGAGCGCAACCCUUAAGCUUAGUUGCCAUCAUUAAGUUGGGCACUCUAAGUUGACUGCCGGUGACAAACCGGAGGAAGGUGGGGAUGACGUCAAACCAUCAUGCCCCUUAUGAUUUGGGCUACACACGUGCUACAAUGGACAAUACAAAGGGCAGCGAAACCGCGAGGUCAAGCAAAUCCCAUAAAGUUGUUCUCAGUUCGGAUUGUAGUCUGCAACUCGACUACAUGAAGCUGGAAUCGCUAGUAAUCGUAGAUCAGCAUGCUACGGUGAAUACGUUCCCGGGUCU
This 1372-nucleotide ribosomal RNA is filed under the name uncultured bacterium. RNAcentral's name for it is "bacterial SSU rRNA". It matches the Rfam family "Bacterial small subunit ribosomal RNA", at positions 28 to 1381 of the family's 1533-position model. The record is from RNAcentral.